RNAcentral lists this ribosomal RNA (311 nucleotides) under uncultured Candidatus Saccharibacteria bacterium. RNAcentral's name for it is "bacterial SSU rRNA". It matches the Rfam family "Bacterial small subunit ribosomal RNA", at positions 28 to 351 of the family's 1533-position model. The record is from RNAcentral. Lineage: Bacteria; Candidatus Saccharimonadota.
GAUGAACGCUGGCGGCGUGCCUAAUACAUGCAAGUCGAGCGGCAGCGCGAGUAGUUUACUACUUGGCGGCGAGCGGCGGACGGCUGAGUAACGCGUAGGAACAUACCCCAAAGUGAGGGAUAAGCACCAGAAAUGGUGUCUAAUACCGCAUGUGCUCUAAGGAGUAAAGCUUCGGCGCUUUGGGAAUGGCCUGCGUCUGAUUAGCUUGUUGGUGAGGUAAAAGCUCACCAAGGCGACGAUCAGUAGCUGGUCUGAGAGGAUGAUCAGCCAGACUGGGACUGAGACACGGCCCAGACACCUACGGGUGGCUG